CGGGGAGGGUCAUUGGAAACUGGGGAACUUGAGUGCAGAAGAGGAGAGUGGAAUUCCACGUGUAGCGGUGAAAUGCGAUAGAGAUGUGGAGGAACACCAGUGGCGAAGGCGACUCUCUGGUCUGUAACUGACGCUGAGGAGCGAAAGCGUGGGGAGCGAACAGGAUUAGAUACCCUGGUAGUCCACGCCGUAAACGAUGAGUGCUAAGUGUUAGGGGGUUUCCGCCCCUUAGUGCUGCAGCUAACGCAUUAAGCACUCCGCCUGGGGAGUACGGUCGCAAGACUGAAACUCAAAGGAAUUGACGGGGGCCCGCACAAGCGGUGGAGCAUGUGGUUUAAUUCGAAGCAACGCGAAGAACCUUACCAGGUCUUGACAUCCUCUGACAAUCCUAGAGAUAGGACGUCCCCUUCGGGGGCAGAGUGACAGGUGGUGCAUGGUUGUCGUCAGCUCGUGUCGUGAGAUGUUGGGUUAAGUCCCGCAACGAGCGCAACCCUUGAUCUUAGUUGCCAGCAUUCAGUUGGGCACUCUAAGGUGACUGCCGGUGACAAACCGGAGGAAGGUGGGGAUGACGUCAAAUCAUCAUGCCCCUUAUGACCUGGGCUACACACGUGCUACAAUGGACAGAACAAAGGGCAGCGAAACCGCGAGGUUAAGCCAAUCCCACAAAUCUGUUCUCAGUUCGGAUCGCAGUCUGCAACUCG
RNAcentral lists this ribosomal RNA (701 nucleotides) under Bacillus sp. SKS38. Its description in RNAcentral is "bacterial SSU rRNA". It matches the Rfam family "Bacterial small subunit ribosomal RNA", at positions 614 to 1314 of the family's 1533-position model. The record is from RNAcentral. Lineage: Bacteria; Bacillati; Bacillota; Bacilli; Caryophanales; Bacillaceae.